UGACGUUGGGAAAGCGAGCGGCGGAUGGGUGAGUAACACGUGGGGAACCUGCCCCUAAGUCUGGGAUACCAUUUGGAAACAGGUGCUAAUACCGGAUAAUAAAGCAGAUCGCAUGAUCAGCUUUUGAAAGGCGGCGUAAGCUGUCGCUAAGGGAUGGCCCCGCGGUGCAUUAGCUAGUUGGUAAGGUAACGGCUUACCAAGGCGACGAUGCAUAGCCGAGUUGAGGGACUGAUCGGCCACAUUGGGACUGAGACACGGCCCAAACUCCUACGGGAGGCAGCAGUAGGGAAUCUUCCACAAUGGACGCGAGUCUGAUGGAGCAACGCCGCGUGAGUGAAGAAGGUUUUCGGAUCGUAAAGCUCUGUUGCUGGUGAAGAAGGAUAGAGGUAGUAACUGGCCUUUAUUUGACGGUAAUCAACCAGAAAGUCACGGCUAACUACGUGCCAGCAGCCGCGGUAAUACGUAGGUGGCAAGCGUUGUCCGGAUUUAUUGGGCGUAAAGCGAGCGCAGGCGGAAAAAUAAGUCUAAUGUGAAAGCCCUCGGCUUAACCGAGGAACUGCAUCGGAAACUGUUUUUCUUGAGUGCAGAAGAGGAGAGUGGAACUCCGUGUGUAGCGGUGGAAUGCGUAGAUAUAUGGAAGAACACCAGUGGCGAAGGCGGCUCUCUGGUCUGCAACUGACGCUGAGGCUCGAAAGCAUGGGUAGCGAACAGGAUUAGAUACCCUGGUAGUCCAUGCCGUAAACGAUGAGUGCUAAGUGUUGGGAGGUUUCCGCCUCUCAGUGCUGCAGCUAACGCAUUAAGCACUCCGCCUGGGGAGUACGACCGCAAGGUUGAAACUCAAGGAAUUGACGGGGGCCCGCACAAGCGGUGG
Molecule: ribosomal RNA, 871 nt
Filed under: uncultured bacterium
Lineage: Bacteria
Description: bacterial SSU rRNA
Rfam family: Bacterial small subunit ribosomal RNA
Source: RNAcentral